GAUGAACGCUGGCGGCGUGCCUAAUACAUGCAAGUCGAGCGAACAGACGAGGAGCUUGCUCCUCUGACGUUAGCGGCGGACGGGUGAGUAACACGUGGAUAACCUACCUAUAAGACUGGGAUAACUUCGGGAAACCGGAGCUAAUACCGGAUAAUAUAUUGAACCGCAUGGUUCAAUAGUGAAAGACGGUUUUGCUGUCACUUAUAGAUGGAUCCGCGCCGCAUUAGCUAGUUGGUAAGGUAACGGCUUACCAAGGCAACGAUGCGUAGCCGACCUGAGAGGGUGAUCGGCCACACUGGAACUGAGACACGGUCCAGACUCCUACGGGAGGCAGCAGUAGGGAAUCUUCCGCAAUGGGCGAAAGCCUGACGGAGCAACGCCGCGUGAGUGAUGAAGGUCUUCGUAUCGUAAAACUCUGUUAUUAGGGAAGAACAAAUGUGUAAGUAACUAUGCACGUCUUGACGGUACCUAAUCAGAAAGCCACGGCUAACUACGUG
Molecule: ribosomal RNA, 497 nt
Filed under: uncultured bacterium
Lineage: Bacteria
Description: partial 16S ribosomal RNA
Rfam family: Bacterial small subunit ribosomal RNA
Source: RNAcentral